GACGAACGCUGGCGGCGUGCCUAAUACAUGCAAGUUGAGCGCUGAAGGUUGGUACUUGUACCAACUGGAUGAGCAGCGAACGGGUGAGUAACGCGUGGGGAAUCUGCCUUUGAGCGGGGGACAACAUUUGGAAACGAAUGCUAAUACCGCAUAAAAACUUUAAACACAAGUUUUACGUUUGAAAGAUGCAAUUGCCUCACUCAAAGAUGAUCCCGCGUUGCAUUAGCUAGUUGGUGAGGUAAAGGCUCACCAAGGCGAUGAUACAUAGCCUACCUGAGAGGGUGAGCGGCCACACUGGGAGGGAGGCACGGCCCAAACACCUACGGGAGGCAGCAGUAGGGAUUCGUCGGCGAUGGACGAAAGUCUGACCAAGCAACGCCGCGUGAGGGAGGAGGGUUUUCGGAUCGUAAAGCUCGGUUAGUAGAGAAGAACGGUGGUGGGAGUGGAAAGCGCAUCAAGUGACGGUAACUACCCAGAAAGGGACGGCUAACUACGUG
Molecule: ribosomal RNA, 497 nt
Filed under: uncultured bacterium
Lineage: Bacteria
Description: partial 16S ribosomal RNA
Rfam family: Bacterial small subunit ribosomal RNA
Source: RNAcentral